Molecule: transfer RNA, 72 nt
Filed under: Candidatus Woesearchaeota archaeon
Lineage: Archaea; Nanobdellati; Candidatus Woesearchaeota
Description: tRNA-Thr
Rfam family: tRNA
About the family: Transfer RNA (tRNA) molecules are approximately 80 nucleotides in length. Their secondary structure includes four short double-helical elements and three loops (D, anti-codon, and T loops).
Source: RNAcentral
GCCUCUGUAGCUUAGUGGUUGAGCAGCGCUCUCGUAAAGCGCAGGUCGCCGGUUCGAAUCCGGCCAGAGGCU